UUCUCGUUUUCCCCCUUUAUUUCCCGUUUGUUUCCCUUUAUUUCCCCAGUUCUUCUUUCCUUUCUCAAUUCUCCUUUCUUUCCCCCAAACUGCUCCUUUCUUUCCCUAAUUCUUCUUUAUUCUUCCCCCAUUCUAAUUAUUUCCCCCAAAUCCUCCUUCUUUCCCAAUUCUCAUCUUCCUUUCCUCAAUUCUUGUCUUUCUUUCCCCAAAUUCUUCUCUCCUUUCCCCAAUUCUCAUCUUUCUUUCCUUCAUUCCCAUCUUUCUUUCCCCAUUUCCUCUCUUUCUUUCCCCAAUUCCCCCUCUCCUUUCCCCAAUUCUUCCUCUCCUUUCCCCAGUUCUCCUCUUUCUUUCCCCAAUUCCCUCUUUCUUUCCCUAAUUCUCCUCUUCCUUUCCUCAAUUCUCGUCUUUCUUUCCCCAAAUUCUUCUCUCCUUUCCCCAAUUCUCAUCCUUCUUUCCUCCAUUCCCAUCUUUCUUUCCCCAUUUCUUCUCUUUCUUUCCCUAAAUUCCCAUCUUUCUUUCCCCAGUUCUCCUCUUCCUUUCCCGUGUUCUCCUCUCCUUUGCCCAAAUUCUCUUCUUUCUUUCCCUAAUUCUCCUCUUUCUUUCCUCAUUUCUUCUCCUUCCUUCCCCAAUUCUUGUCUUUCUUUCCCCAGUUCUUCUUUCUUUCCCCAUUUCCUGUCUCGUCUUUCAUUUCCCCCCAGUUCCUGCUUCUUUCCCCAAUUUUUGUCUUCCUUUCCCCAGUUCUCCUCUUUUUUUCCCCAGAUCUCGUCUUUCUUUCCCCAAAUUCUUCUCUCCUUUUCCCAAUUCUCCUCUUUCUUUCCCCCGUUCUCCUCCUUCUUUCCUCAUUUCUUCUCCUUCUUUCCCCAAUUCACGUCUUUCUUUCCCGUUCAUUUUCUUUCUUUCUUCCUUUCUCUCCUGUCUCGUCUUUCAUUUCCCCAAGUUCCUGCUUCUUUCCCCAAUUUUUGUCUUCCUUUCCCCAAAUUCUUCUUCCUUUCCCCANUCCUUUCUCUCCUGUCUCGUCUUUCAUUUCCCCAAGUUCCUGCUUCUUUCCCCAAUUUUUGUCUUCCUUUCCCCAAAUUCUUCUUCCUUUCCCCAGUUCUCCUCUUUCUUUCCCCAAAUUCUUCUCUCCUUUUCCCAAUUCUCCUUCCUUUCCCGUGUUCUCCUAUUUCUUUCCCAUGUUCUCCUCUUUCUUUCCUCAUUUCUUCUCCUUCCUUCCCCAGUUCUUGUCUUUCUUUCCCUAGUUCUUUUUCUUUCUUUCUUUCUUUCUUUUUCUUUCUUUCUUUCUUUUUCUUGUCUCCUCUUUCAUUUCCCCAAGUUCCUGCUUCUUUCCCCAAUUCUUGUCUUCCUUUCCCCAAAUUCUUCGCUCCUUUCCCCAGUUCUCCUCUUUCUUUCCCCAGUUCCUGUCUUUUCCAAUUCUUCCUCUCCUUUCCCCAGUUCUCCUCUUUCUUUCCCCAAAUUCUUCUCCUCCUUUCCCCAAUUCUCGUCUCUUUCCCUAAAUUCUUCUUUCUUUCCCCAAUUCUCUUCUUUCUUUCCCGUUCUCUUUCUUUCUUUCUCUUUCUUUCUUUCUUUUUCCUUCUUUCCUUCCUUCUUUCCUUUUCUUUCCUUUCUUUUCUUUCUUUCUUUUUCCUUCUUUCCUUCCUUCUUUUCUUCCUUCUUUCCUUUCUUUUAUUUUCUUUCUUUUUUCUUCUUUCCUUCCUUCUUUCCCUUUCUUUCUUUCCUUUCUUUUCUUUCUUUUUCUUUCUUUUUCCUUCUUUCCUUCCUUCUUUCCUUCCUUCUUUUCUUCCUUCUUUCCUUUCCUUUCUUUUCUUUCUUUUUCCUUCUUUCCUUUCUUUUUCUUUCUUUCCUUCCUUUCUUUCCUUUCUUUUUUCUUUCUUUCCUUCCUCCUUUCCUUCCUUCCUUUCUUUUUCUUUCUUUCUUUUCUUUCUUUCCUGUCUCGUCUUUCAUUUCCCCCCAGUUCCUGCUUCUUUCCCCAAUGUUUGUCUUCCUUUCCCCAAAUUCUUCUCUCCUUUCCCCAGUUCUCCUCUUUCUCUCCUCCAUUCCCAUCUUUCUUCCCCAAUUCUUCCCCUUCUUUCCCCAAUUCUCAUCCCUUUCAUGGGGAGAAUCAAGGCAAAGGGAAAAAAAUGAACGGGUAGAGGAGAACGAAAGGGAGGAACAAUUAACAGAGAUAAUUAAAAACGGCGACUAAUGGCUGGAUAGCGUGAGAAAACUACUAGCAGAGGAUGGUUUCGAUCCAUCGACCUCUGGGUUAUGGGCCCAGCACGCUUCCGCUGCGCCACUCUGCUCCUGCAUUGAAGCUAAUUACUUUGUGCUUAUUAAUUACACAUUGAAAUUUUUGUUACUGGAAUAGAGGAAAAAAAUUUUUUUUUUUUUUAAAAACUGAAAAGCUGGCGCGAAUUCAUCAGAAUCUUUGUCUCACGCGGCUCGAAGCGCUGAUUGAGAUUAAUGACCGCAAAAGAAUGACGUGAUC
RNAcentral lists this transfer RNA (2464 nucleotides) under Numida meleagris (helmeted guineafowl). RNAcentral describes it as "lncRNA (ENSNMEG00000006569.1)". The record is from RNAcentral. Lineage: Eukaryota; Metazoa; Chordata; Aves; Galliformes; Numididae.